GCCAGGGCGGGGCCGUCUCCAACAGGAAGAGCUCCCCUCCCUCGCCCCACCCCCGGGAGGACCCGCCCCGGACUAAUCGCGGACUUCUCCAGCAGCGGGUCCCACCCAGAGCCAGGACCUGACGCUGCCUGUUAAAUGCUGAUAGAGUCACCUCGGCGUCAGUCAGCAGAGGAGAGCAGCCGCUGGGGACGCUCCUGCCUCGCGGUCCGAGGAGGAUCCCGAGUCCACCUAGAGCCUCGCGCCUCAGCCAUGGGGGCGUGUCCCCGCCGCGGGGCCUGGCUCUGCUCCGUGGGGCUCCUCGGGGCGUUGGCGCUACUCCCCCGAGCUCUGCUCGCCCUGCCGCUGAACUUGGGUAAUUGUAAUACUCUGCCAGCAUUUCCUCAUGCUCCUCCUGAAGAAAACUAUGAUGCUGAUAAAAUCUUUGUUGUUGGCACCAUUGUACAUUACAAAUGUGAUACUGGUUAUGUUAAACUAAUGGGAAACUCAGACUCAAUUAUUUGCCAGGGUAUGGAAUGGUCAGAAAUUCCACAAUUUUGUGAUCAUGGCUGUUUUCCCCCAGGCCCGUACCCUGGUAUGAAGCGGAGUGCUGAAUUCAUAAGUCGAUUGAGGUUUCCUUUUAACAUCACUGUGACUUUUGUAUGUCAGCCAGGAUAUACUCUCAGUAAACCUGGGCCUCUUCUCAGUACUUGUCAAGAUGAUGGAACGUGGUCACCUGUCUCAGGGUCUUGUAACAAAGUCAAAUGUAAAACUCCAAAAGUUGACAAUGCAGUCCAGCUAACAGGAUUUGGAUCCUUUCAUGGUUACAAGGACACAGUUGAUUUCAAAUGUGAAGAUGGUUAUUUCUUCUUACGAGGUAACGGCACAAUUACCUGUGAAGCUGAUAGUAAUUGGAGCCCUGUACUUCCGUUUUGUUCUACAGAACAUGCCUAUACAGAGCCACCUUACCCAAGUCGUCCAGGAUCUGCUAGUACUUCCCAACAAGAACCACCUGUCUCAAGUCAACCAGGGCCUUCGCUUCCUCCCAAUAAAGAGCCACAAGGUUUUGGCAUCAUUAUCGUGAUAGUUCUUACCAUAGUUAUCGUGUUUUCAAUGAUCAGCUUUAUCGCUUAUCGUCGGUACAAGGAGAAAUAAGGGAUUGAUCAUUCACAUUUUAUUCAGUCAGACCUUUUUCCCUUCCUCUGUUCAGCAAAUACAUAACUGAUGGAAUCCACAAAGAAGAAACACAUUUAAAUUCUCUUACUUCUCCUAAAGAAGACGCCUUAAUGAAAGAAAGGUUUACUUAAAUCAUUAAAAGGAAAAAUGUAACGAUUCCUGUUAGUGCUGAUUACAAACCUAGCCCGGAACAAGGGAACCAUUCUGAGGAAAGCAAGUGUAUGAUUUCAGUAAACUAACGUAACCACCAA
Non-coding RNA from Phascolarctos cinereus (koala), 1403 nucleotides. The record is from RefSeq and is a predicted model, not a curated record. Lineage: Eukaryota; Metazoa; Chordata; Mammalia; Diprotodontia; Phascolarctidae.